RNAcentral lists this small nuclear RNA (135 nucleotides) under Otolemur garnettii (small-eared galago). RNAcentral's name for it is "U4 spliceosomal RNA (ENSOGAG00000023274.1)". The record is from RNAcentral. Lineage: Eukaryota; Metazoa; Chordata; Mammalia; Primates; Galagidae.
AGCUUUGCACAGUGCACAUCAGAGCCAGGUUUAUCCAGGGCACAAUUAUUGGUAACUGAAAGCUCUUCCCAGUACCCCUCCAUGACGACUUGAAUUACAGUCAGCAUUGGCAAUUUCUGACGGUCUCUACAAAGA